UACUAUCUUUUAUCUGCUGUUAAGAAGCAUUUGCUACCACUCUUACUAAAAUACUGUUGCCAGUAAACUGGUUAUAUUCAAAGGCACUUAAGGCAGUUAAACCUCACUAGAACUGAAAGGAAAUUAUGAGCUGGAGAUAUCAUAAAGAAUGUGGAAGGGAAAGAUGGCGCUGUAUCAUUCUCAGAUAAAAGGAAUGCAUGGAACUGACUUUCUGGAUUCAAAUGCAUCAGUCUGGAAAGAUUUCGGUGCAAUCUUUGCUGUUGUCAUCAGCUCUAUAAACUGCUAGUGCUUUUUGCCACAAUGUUCC
RNAcentral lists this long non-coding RNA (307 nucleotides) under Coturnix japonica (Japanese quail). RNAcentral describes it as "lncRNA (ENSCJPG00005010607.1)". The record is from RNAcentral. Lineage: Eukaryota; Metazoa; Chordata; Aves; Galliformes; Phasianidae.